RNAcentral lists this ribosomal RNA (480 nucleotides) under uncultured Bacteroidota bacterium. Its description in RNAcentral is "bacterial SSU rRNA". It matches the Rfam family "Bacterial small subunit ribosomal RNA", at positions 28 to 505 of the family's 1533-position model. The record is from RNAcentral. Lineage: Bacteria; Pseudomonadati; Bacteroidota.
GACGAACGCUAGCGGCAGGCCUAAUACAUGCAAGUCGAACGCGAAAGUCGACUUCGGUUGACAAGUAGAGUGGCGCACGGGUGCGUAACGCGUAUGUAACCUACCCUUAAGAGGGGGAUAGUCGCGGGAAACUGCGAAUAAUACCCCAUAUGCUUUUAGUCUGGCAUCAGACAGAAAGGAAAGAUUUAUUGCUUAGGGAUGGGCAUGCGUGACAUUAGUUAGUUGGUGAGGUAACGGCUCACCAAGGCAACGAUGUCUAGCUGGUCUGAGAGGAUGAUCAGCCACACGGGCACUGAGACACGGGCCCGACUCCUACGGGAGGCAGCAGUAAGGAAUAUUGGACAAUGGGGGCAACCCUGAUCCAGCCAUGCCGCGUGAAGGAUGAAGGUUCUCCGAAUCGUAAACUUCUUUUAUAGGGGAAUAAUAAGGUGCUAUACGCACCGAUGUAGGUACCCUAAGAAUAAGCACCGGCUAACUACG